AGCUUUGCAUAGAGACAGUAUCUUAGCCAAUGAGAUUUAUCUGAGGUAUGAUUAUUGCUAAUUGGAUAUGAUCAGUCCAUGUUGUAUUCAUGUAGAGAAAUAUCACAGUGAACCUCAUUAAUAUGC
This 126-nucleotide small nuclear RNA is filed under the name Fukomys damarensis (Damara mole-rat). RNAcentral's name for it is "U4 spliceosomal RNA (ENSFDAG00000001779.1)". The record is from RNAcentral. Lineage: Eukaryota; Metazoa; Chordata; Mammalia; Rodentia; Bathyergidae.